AAGAAGAAGAAGAGCCUUGCGUGGUGGAGCACGAGACCCAUCUGGUUAGUCUGGGAAACGGGAGGACUAGUAUGUUUUCAGGCGCUUCUUUUCACCAAGAAGCUCUUUUUGGAAGGCCGAGCUGUGAGACAGUGGAGGGGCUCUUUUUUAUGGGGAUUGUAGUGAAUCUAAAUGAUCCCUCGUCAGAUUUUAAAUUGCCAACGAGCAAAACAUUUAUCUUGUUCACGGAUCAUGGCGAGUUGUCGCGGGAGCAGUCCGGUGGACGGCAGGGGUCAUUAAAUCAUGAGGGCUGCCGGGCUGCUGGGCUGCGAUGGAUGCGAGCCCCACCAAACUCGUGCAUCGAUUUGCUGGCGUAGAAGAUAGUGUAAAAAAAUAUAAAGAUAUAUAAAUAAAUUUAUUUUAUUUUAUUAGUUUAAGUUUUUGGGAUAGACUGUAGUUGUAAUAUGGUAUCAGAGUAAAAGUUCCAAGUUUCAAC
Phoenix dactylifera (date palm) is the source of this 475-nucleotide non-coding RNA. NCBI's taxonomy places the organism in Eukaryota, Viridiplantae, Streptophyta, Magnoliopsida, Arecales, Arecaceae. The record is from RefSeq and is a predicted model, not a curated record.